RNAcentral lists this long non-coding RNA (2206 nucleotides) under Homo sapiens (human). Its description in RNAcentral is "HSALNT0150359". Lineage: Eukaryota; Metazoa; Chordata; Mammalia; Primates; Hominidae. The record is from RNAcentral.
UUUAAUGGGUAAUAAUAAUAAAAAUACAUAGUGUGUGUGGGGAAAAGGACCACACAGAUUGAGAUUUUAAUAUCUGAACCUACUAUUCAACCACAAAUCUUAUUAGCCAUUUAUUGAAAAGCUUUCUUGUUUUAGACAGAACAGAUCCUGAUUAAAGAAAGGAAGAUGCAGAGUGCCCUGCACUGAAUUUGUCACCAGCCAGCAGAGGGAGUGUCUGAAGCUUCAGUGCAGGUCAGAGGCUGUAAAACUUGAAGAAAGGAGCCAAGAUCGCCAGAAAUACAGUGGUGGUAUUAUAGCAAACAUGAGAUCCUAAGUCCUUUUUCAAAGCGUGCCUGCUCCCUGCAAGAGGAGGAACAGUGGCCAACCCACUCAAUCAGCUGUUGCCAUGUGGGACCUGUGCGAGGCCACCUUGGUAGGAGAAAGUAAGAAGAUAUGACCAGUUAUCUCCUCCAUCAGACAAAGGCACUAUUGAUUGUUCAGGAAAUUAAGUGGCCCCCUUUGCACCACAGUGCAAAAAAUGUACUCUUCUUUGGUGAAUCUUUAUUAUGUUGAUUGUUAAAGUGAUAUCUGUACAUAUUAAAUGUGUUAUGGCCUUAAGUGUUACAAUCCUUGCUCUGUGUAUAUUUACAUUUAUAUGUGUAUCAAUAUUCUCAAGCAGGAACACAGCACUGCCCUUCCAGCUCCCUCCCCCAGCUAGAGGACAUCUGGCAAUUUGACAUUUUGGUUGUCACAAUCUAGGGGACAGGGCUACUACUAGCAUCUACAGGGUAGAGCCAGUGGUACUGCUAAAUAUCUUAUAAUCCAUAGUACUGCUCCUGCAAUGAAGAAUUAUCUGGCUUAUGAUGUCAAUAAAAAUAAUAAUUUUCAUCAGAAAAGAGUUGUAUCAUUUUCAAAACACUUUCACAUGCAUUAUUUUAUUGAUGCUCAUAAAGUCAUUGUGAGGUAAUAAGCUUUCUAAUUUAUGGAUGAGGAAAUUGAGGUUUAAAAGGGAAAAGUGACUUUACCAAUGUCAUAUUACUAGAAAAGUGAAGGUGUUAGAGCACGAAAAUUAAUCUUCAGCCCUCUCUUACUUUCCAUACUUUUUCCUGGCAAUGUCCUGUGGGCAAAGAUAAAUGUGCCAGUCUCCUUCACUUCAAGCCCAGCAUGGUACUUUCCACUUGCUAGAGCUUCAAAAAUGUGUUUGUUGAUUGACUAAUUAUAAAUGACAUCAAGGACAGUCAACUGUAUUAUUCCCCCCUAGUUUUUAAAUAAGAAAUGUCAACUGAUAUGGUUUGACUCUGUCCCCACUCAGAUCUCAUCUUGAGUUGUAGCUCCCACAAUUCCCACAUGUGGCUGGUGAUAGCUGGUGGGAGGUAAUUGAAUCAUGGGGGCAGGCCUUUCCCAUGCUGCUCUCGUGAUAGCGAAUAAGUCCAUGAGCUCUGAUGGUUUUAUCAAGGGGAAACCCCUUUCACUUGGCUCCUACUCUCUCUUGUCUGCCACCACGUAAGACAUGCCUUUGCUUCCCCUUUGCCUUCAGCCAUGAUUGUGAGGCCUGCCCAGCCAUGUGAAACUGUGAGUCAAUUUAACCUCUUCCAUUUAGAAAUUACGCAGUCUCAGGUAAGUCUUUAGUAGCAAUGUGAGAACAGACUAAUAUAACAACUCAGAUCCCUAGGAAAGAUUUCUGUGUAAUUCAACAUACAUUUCCUGUUUUACAUGAAUAGAUGGCUGUAGCAUGUCUGGUUGUUUUUUUUUUUGUUUGUUUGUUGUUUUGUUUUUUUUUUUUUUAAUUUUGCUCUGGUGUAAAUCUUAGAGUAGUUCAAAAUGUAAAACCCCAAAACUUUUAGCUAGCAACAGGAUGUAGCCAUUCCGUGGCUUCCUUUUAACUGAAUAUGCACAGGCAGAGGAGCCAAGAGAAGGAACCAGCUUUUCUGAGUGACAGCAUAUUUCAAAGACAGGUAAAGGACAAACUGGAACAGAACUGGGGGUAAUACAUUGAAAACAAAACAAAACACAACAAGAAACAGUAACACGCAUGGAUCUCUGCCCAGAUUCCCACCCAAAAACUAAUUUAUUAAGCUGAUAUAAUAACACUGUGCAACAAUAGCCAGGCUAGCUUAGCUUUAUAUUUAGCUCAAGAAGCAAUUAAAGACAAAAAGAAAAAGAACACUCAUACUGUACAUGAUGAACAAAUCACAAGAUGUUCAACACAUUUGUUUAGCAGACAGUA